AAUACUUAUUUUUUUUCCAGUUGGACACUUCAUUGCUAUUAUUAUUUUAAAUAAAUAGUGUUAUUCAGGACUAUGGGAUAAAAUUCUACCCUGGAGUGGUAAUACUUUCUUUCUUUCUUUUUUUCUUCCAGGGUUAUUGCUGGGGCUCUGUGACAACACUACAGAUGCACUGUUCCUGGUGGCCAUUUUUUCCAUUUUAUUGGAUAGGACAGAGAGAAAUUGAGAGGGGAGGGGAGAUAGAGAAGGACAGAGAAAGAGAGACACCUGCAAACCUGCUUUUCCACUUGUCAAGGAACUCCUCUGCAGGUGGGGAGCCAGGAGCUCAAAUUUGGAUCAUUGCACCAAACCAGGUAUGCCACCAUUGGACCCCCAAGAGGAUGGAGGAUAAAGGGGAGAGGGAGAGAGGAGGAGAAAUACCUGUAGCACUGCUCCACCACUUGUGAAGCUUCCCCUCUACAGGCAAUUGACUGAAGAAUGCCAUACCAUUAUUUCAAAAAGGAAGACAGCUACUGUUUUUGCAGUGACUAUAAUGACUAUCAUCUUGCAGGGUCAGAUCAGUUUCAAAGAUCGCUGUCCGGGUGGGAAGCAGCUGAAGUUGUAGCUGGCCUGAAUGCAUAAAUGAAGCCUCACAGCGGAAACUUUCCUUCUGAGUUGAAAAGUCAGUGGAAUAUUCAUCGACAUGUAACAUGAGCACAGGAUGCCGAGAAAGACAUGCUUUUCCUCUUAGCCCAGCUGACUGAUAAAUCAGAAGUUCUUCCUACUAUUUUCUGCUCUGUGACAUCAAGGAAGCAAUCUGACCACAGAAUAAGGGCGAUUGAAACUGAGUGCUCCAGCCCCCUCUUCCAGUUGGUAUUUACCAGAGCCAGCAGUGAAGGAGGAACAGAGUGUCCCCAUAUAUGUGUCAACCAAAUGUUUUCUGCCUCCCUUCUCCUGGACAGAAGCAUAAAGGUCAUGCUUUUGACAUCAAGACUAUUCUCAAAGUUGAUGCAGACCAAGGGGUGGUAGGCAAAGACCUGUAGGUGGAAAUUGAUUUGUUUCCCUGUCUUUGUAAAUAAAGUUUUAUUGGUACACAGCUA
Molecule: long non-coding RNA, 1076 nt
Organism: Erinaceus europaeus (western European hedgehog)
Lineage: Eukaryota; Metazoa; Chordata; Mammalia; Eulipotyphla; Erinaceidae
Exons: 6
Source: RefSeq, a predicted model, not a curated record